This 401-nucleotide ribosomal RNA is filed under the name uncultured bacterium. Its description in RNAcentral is "bacterial SSU rRNA". It matches the Rfam family "Bacterial small subunit ribosomal RNA", at positions 357 to 775 of the family's 1533-position model. The record is from RNAcentral.
GGGAAUAUUGCGCAAUGGAGGAAACUCUGACGCAGUGACGCCGCGUAUAGGAAGAAGGUUUUCGGAUUGUAAACUAUUGUCCACAGGGAAGAUAAAAGACUGUACCUGUGAAGAAAGCUCCGGCUAACUACGUGCCAGCAGCCGCGGUAAUACGUAGGGAGCAAGCGUUAUCCGGAUUUAUUGGGUUUAAAGGGUGCGUAGGCGGGCUUUUAAGUCAGCGGUAAAAAUUCGGGGCUCAACCCCGUCCGGCCGUUGAAACUGGGGGCCUUGAGUGGGCGAGAAGAAGGCGGAAUGCGUGGUGUAGCGGUGAAAUGCAUAGAUAUCACGCAGAACCCCGAUUGCGAAGGCAGCCUUCCGGCGCCCUACUGACGCUGAGGCACGAAAGUGCGGGGAUCGAACAG